GAAGUUCCUUCGAUAGUUCGAUCCAAACAGGCAUAGGUUUCGUGUUCGGCCGCACAUGUCAGAACGAAGUGUUCUUCUUCCUUUUUCCAAGUCGGCAGUCCGCGGCCGGCGAUCUGAAUCCGCGGCACUCCAACCUCAAAGGCAACGGCGGAAUGGGGGAUGCUCGACCGGGGCUGGUGCCUAUUUUAAUCCUGCCAAAUUUUACUCUGUGUGCCCCCUGCUGGUGCCUAUAAACACGCCCACGCAUCUUGCCUGCUUGCCCUUUUCUCCACACACCACCACAUGUCGACCUCACCUGAUCUAGGGUUUAGCGGAGUGACCACGCGGCGGAGCGAGCGCGCGGAUCCGUUCCAGAUAUGCAUUUGGGGGGCAGCAAGCUCGAGGCGGCAAAUGCAUAACUUGCAAGAAUUUGUUGGUUGCGGGUCAUACCGAUGAUGCUCUUGCAAGUUAUGCAGUUGCUGCCUCAAGCUUCCUGCCUCCCUUUGCCAGAGCUAGUAAGAUAAAAAGUUUUCAAUCAGCACAGACAAGAGCAAUGUUUUUAAAUCGCCUAA
Panicum virgatum (switchgrass) is the source of this 551-nucleotide long non-coding RNA. RefSeq lists it as uncharacterized. The transcript has 3 exons. The record is from RefSeq and is a predicted model, not a curated record. Lineage: Eukaryota; Viridiplantae; Streptophyta; Magnoliopsida; Poales; Poaceae.